RNAcentral lists this ribosomal RNA (429 nucleotides) under Actinomycetes bacterium. RNAcentral describes it as "Actinobacteria bacterium partial 16S ribosomal RNA". It matches the Rfam family "Bacterial small subunit ribosomal RNA", at positions 355 to 776 of the family's 1533-position model. The record is from RNAcentral. Lineage: Bacteria; Bacillati; Actinomycetota; Actinomycetes.
UAGGGAAUCUUCCGCAAUGGGCGAAAGCCUGACGGAGCAACGCCGCGUGAGUGAUGAAGGUCUUCGGAUCGUAAAACUCUGUUAUUAGGGAAGAACAAAUGUGUAAGUAACUAUGCACGUCUUGACGGUACCUAAUCAGAAAGCCACGGCUAACUACGUGCCAGCAGCCGCGGUAAUACGUAGGUGGCAAGCGUUAUCCGGAAUUAUUGGGCGUAAAGCGCGCGUAGGCGGUUUUUUAAGUCUGAUGUGGAAGCCCACGGCUCAACCGUGGAGGGUCAUUGGAAACUGGAAAACUUGAGUGCAGAAGAGGAAAGUGGAAUUCCAUGUGUAGCGGUGAAAUGCGCAGCGAUAUGGAGGAACACCAGUGGCGAAGGCGACUUUCUGGACUGUAACUGACGCUGAUGUGCGAAAGCGUGGGGAUCAAACAGG